Molecule: long non-coding RNA, 1820 nt
Filed under: Oryza sativa (Asian cultivated rice)
Lineage: Eukaryota; Viridiplantae; Streptophyta; Magnoliopsida; Poales; Poaceae
Description: long non-coding RNA (OSAT_LNC001959)
Source: RNAcentral
UGAUAUCGCAUCGUGGUCAGAUUUUCCUGCAGCAUACAAUUACAGAUUAGGUGCUUGACAAGAAUGUUCAGUAAUAACUCUUCACAUGAGGUUUCUGUGCAACCAAAUCACAAGAUAAAAUAACUCAAGUGCAUUUUCCUUUUCUCGCAGACAAAUUACCCUACCUUGGCCAGGCUUCAUGAAGCGUACAUGGAACAUCCAGCUUUCCAAGCCGCGCUGCCAGAGCGGCAACCGGACGCACCUUCCUCUCCUGAGAUCUGAUCAUAUCUACAUUAAAACACUUAUAUUAGGAUCAAAUAACCCUGUGGUGCCGGAAGAAACAGAUCUCUCAUACUUGGAAUGAUUACAUAAUUUCUAGUAUUUUCUGGUUGCACCAAACUGCAGCAAAUACGGCACAAUUGGGAUAUUGUUUCUCUGUUUUGCAUAUAUCUUCGUGGCUUGUUCAAGCAAUUACUAUUGUAACUAUCGUAGUUCUGUGAUCUCUUUAAAAUUUAUAUAAAGAUGAAAGAAGCCAGAAAAGGUUCAUUUUGCCGCAUCUUAUGGCAAUAGAACCUUAGCUUGAUCAUCACCAUGCUGGCUUCUCUUCUCCACAACCUCUGCAUCCAUUGAGCAGUUUGUUGAUGUGAAACUGAAUAGGGAUAACUAUCUUCUGUGGAAGGUUUAUACUAUCAAUCUUGCGAUGUAGAGAACAGAUUGAUAUCCAUUAAAAAAAUUAUAAUAAAAGGUGUACCGGUAGAGAAGACUUUUACAGUGAUCUCUACACAAAGUUUUGUACUACUCCUGGAAAUGACCUGAGAGUUUAGACCAAUUCUAUACUUGUAUUUGGACGUAGCGGCUUUCCUUGGGCUUAUUUACCGUCAUCAUCAGGUUUCCCACUAGAUUAGCAACAAGUUACCGCCAUCAUAAGGCCUUUCUAAGAGUACUGUUGAUGAUGAUUAAGUUAAUGCGAGAUCAUCCAGAAGUACGAAACCAUUCCUGUGAAACAGCAUUAUAUUUUCCCCCACAAACCUGACAGAGGAGAGCAACAUAUCCUAUGCCCACAAACUUUUUUCACACCAACUAGUAAAUAUCACAAAAAAUCUAGAAAGAAUUAGACAUAUACUCCUAAAUUAAUGCACAUAUCUGCAAAGUCUCAAAUUCAAAUUCAUUAUAUUUUAGCAGUAACCCAAAAAGUAAAACUGUCAGAUUUUUUGCCUUUUUUUGUUAUGGCUAAAUAUAAUAAAUAUGAGACUUUGUAAUAUGUGUAAUACUAUUAGGAGUAUAUGUUCAUUUUUUCUAGAAUUUUUAUUUUUCGUGACAUUUGCUAAUUUGUGUGCACAGGAAACUUGUGUGUAUAGGAUAUGUUGCCAAAUUACUUCACCUGAUGAUCAAAGCAGACUAAAUGGUGGUAAAAUUUACAAAGUUAAAUCUUCUCCCACGAUAAAAGAUUAAUCUCCUAUCCAAACAUUUUGCCCAUGCUCUGCUCACACGGCUCUGGGAAGACAAACAGGUGCAGGAAAGAACAACCUGAAACUUUGCUUAAAUUAAAGGAAAAGCAAGGACGAUUUCUCAAAAUCUUACCUCAGUAACUUGCAUCAUUCAGGAACUUUCUAUAUCAAUUUUGAGAGUAAUCUCCUUCACUUUGUCCUCAGCUUUCAUGUACGAGGGCGAUAGCCCUUUGACUCUGUACAUGAAUUUCACCAACUAAUUCUGGAUUCUUGGUGGUAAUUUUGACUUUCUGUGUCUUUUCCUGACCUUAGCUCCGUUGUUCCAGUCUUGCUUACAACAGUGCCACCUAGACCAAGUAGUCCUCUUCUGAGCUUUUACAGGGAUAUAUUUAC